AUUGAACGCUGGCGGCAUGCUUUACACAUGCAAGUCGAACGGUAACAGGUCUUCGGAUGCUGACGAGUGGCGAACGGGUGAGUAAUACAUCGGAACGUGCCUAGUAGUGGGGGAUAACUACUCGAAAGAGUAGCUAAUACCGCAUGAGAUCUACGGAUGAAAGCAGGGGACCUUCGGGCCUUGUGCUACUAGAGCGGCUGAUGGCAGAUUAGGUAGUUGGUGGGGUAAAGGCUUACCAAGCCUGCGAUCUGUAGCUGGUCUGAGAGGACGACCAGCCACACUGGGACUGAGACACGGCCCAGACUCCUACGGGAGGCAGCAGUGGGGAAUUUUGGACAAUGGGCGAAAGCCUGAUCCAGCAAUGCCGCGUGCAGGAUGAAGGCCCUCGGGUUGUAAACUGCUUUUGUACGGAACGAAAAGCCUGGGGCUAAUAUCCCCGGGUCAUGACGGUACCGUAAGAAUAAGCAC
Molecule: ribosomal RNA, 468 nt
Filed under: Comamonas testosteroni
Lineage: Bacteria; Pseudomonadati; Pseudomonadota; Betaproteobacteria; Burkholderiales; Comamonadaceae
Description: bacterial SSU rRNA
Rfam family: Bacterial small subunit ribosomal RNA
Source: RNAcentral